AUGAUGAGUGAAGAAUAUCAAAUGUCUAUGAUGGGAGAAUUGAAAUUCUUCUUAGGUCUUCAAAUUCGUCAACAACGCAAUGGCAUAUUCAUAUCUCAGGAGAAAUACCUCAAGGAUGUAUUGAGGAAAUUCGGCAUGCAAGAUUGCAAUGGCGUCAAAAUCCCUAUGCCCACCAAUGGCCAUCUAUGCACUGAUGAAAAUGGUAUUGACUUCGAUCAAAAGGUAUACCGCUCCAUGAUUGGUUCUUUAUUGUAUUUAUGUGCAUCUAGGCCAGAUAUUAUGCUUAGUGUUUGCAUGUGUGCCCGAUUUCAAGCUACACCGAAGGAAUCACACCAUAAGGCUGUGAAGCAUAUUCUUCGAUAUCUAGCUCACACACCAACACUUGGAUUAUGGUACCCCAAGGGCUCGGCUUUUGAUCUCAUUGGAUAUUCAGACUCUGACUAUGCUGGUGAUCGUGUGGACCGCAAGUCAACAUCAGGCACAUGCCAUUUCCUCGGACGAUCCUUGGUCUGUUGGUCCUCGAGGAAACAGAAUUGCGUAUCACUGUCUACUGCCGAAGCUGACUACAUUGCUGCUGGUUCUUGCUGUGCUCAAUUGCUGUGGAUGAAGCAAAAUCUCAAGGACUACGGCGUCAACAUGAAGAAUGUGCCUCUCUAA
RNAcentral lists this ribosomal RNA (657 nucleotides) under Triticum aestivum (bread wheat). RNAcentral's name for it is "partial small subunit ribosomal RNA". Lineage: Eukaryota; Viridiplantae; Streptophyta; Magnoliopsida; Poales; Poaceae. The record is from RNAcentral.